Molecule: ribosomal RNA, 285 nt
Filed under: Triticum aestivum (bread wheat)
Lineage: Eukaryota; Viridiplantae; Streptophyta; Magnoliopsida; Poales; Poaceae
Description: partial small subunit ribosomal RNA
Source: RNAcentral
AUGGCUAAGUACUGGUGGGGCAGCUCCAUCGACAAGCGCUCGCUACACUGGCUCUCGUGGGACAAGCUCGAGGUGCCUAAAGUAAAAGGGGGCAUGGGUUUUCGCAACAUGCAGUCCUUUAACCUCGCUAUGCUUGGGAAACAUGGUUGGCGUCUUCUCACGCGACCGGACUCAUUGUGUGCUAGGGUACUGAAAGCAAAAUACUACCCUCAUACAGACUUUCUCAAUGCAAUGGUUCCAGCCAAAGCAUCGGCAACCUGGAAGGCAAUAGUGGUAGGAAGAGAG